GAGAACUUGGCUUAACCGGUAAAGCAUCCGACUUUUAAUCGGUAUUAUAUGGGUUCGAGUCCCAUAGUUCUUA
Molecule: transfer RNA, 73 nt
Filed under: Scytalidium sp.
Lineage: Eukaryota; Fungi; Ascomycota; Leotiomycetes
Description: tRNA-Lys
Rfam family: tRNA
About the family: Transfer RNA (tRNA) molecules are approximately 80 nucleotides in length. Their secondary structure includes four short double-helical elements and three loops (D, anti-codon, and T loops).
Source: RNAcentral